GACAGACACUGCCACCCACAGCCCGUCCCUGCCUCCUCCAGCUGCCCACCAGCCCAGACCCGCGGGAGCGAUGAAGAUGGGCCCACACGUGUGCCACACUGCUGUCCCGGCAGGAGGAACAGGGCAUUCUGAUCACCAGGAAUAUUCUAGUAGUUGAAAAGGUCUGGGAAAUCAUCUGCUUGACAUCUCAUCUGUGGAUCAAAUGAACCACUGGCCAGAAGAUGUGUACGCAGAAAGGAGGGACUGUGGGUGGGGGGCCCUGGUCCUGACCAGCCAGAGUACCAAGGGCCCAUUAUGUUACUCCCUGGGGUGCGGGCAUGGUGGUAACAAAAGCCAGAGUGAAGAAACUUCUGGGUUCAAACCUCAGCCCUCAACCUCAUAAGAGACAGCGGGGGAAGAACACUUAGCAGGAAAUCUGCCUUCUGUGUGCGUGGCGUACCGGCAGCACUGAGCACGGGCCCAGAGUGUGGAAAGCCUGCAACAGAGCCUGUACCUUUGGCCACCCUUGCACAACUCGAGAAUGUGGUGGCACCCAGCCCACAUUCCUGGAUGGCACCUGACGCCAGAGCCAAGCCCACCUCCCCUCCAAAAGCAUGGAUUUCCCAGGUCCUCACAGCCCCCCUGCAGUUUGUAGGGUUGGGAAGGGAAAGACUCUCCUUUUGUCCACAUGUCUUUCAAAGGAGUGAAAAUGCAGACCCUGUGUGUCUUUAACAACAGUACUGCUCUCUGCUUGGCUGGCCGCACCCAUUCCCUGCCCCUGCACUGCGUGUCUGUGACCUUUCCCGAUGCGUUCUGGACGGACGGCCCAUGCCGGUGUUCUGUCGCAGAGCCGAAACGAGCUUACGAAAUCCCACCCAG
Long non-coding RNA from Suricata suricatta (meerkat), 858 nucleotides. RefSeq lists it as uncharacterized. The record is from RefSeq and is a predicted model, not a curated record. Lineage: Eukaryota; Metazoa; Chordata; Mammalia; Carnivora; Herpestidae. The transcript has 3 exons.